UUGACCUCAAAUCAGGUAGGACUACCCGCUGAACUUAAGCAUAUCAAUAAGCGGAGGAAAAGAAACUAACAAGGAUUCCCCUAGUAACUGCGAGUGAAGCGGGAUGAGCUCAAAUUUAAAAUCUGGCGGUCCUUGUGGCCGUCCGAGUUGUAAUCUAGAGAAGUGUUAUCCGCGCUGGACCGUGCACAAGUCUCCUGGAACGGAGCGUCAUAGAGGGUGAGAAUCCCGUCUUUGGCACGGACUACCAGGGCUAUGUGAUGCGCUCUCAAAGAGUCGUGUUGUUUGGGAAUGCAGCACUAAAUGGGUGGUAAAUUCCAUCUAAAGCUAAAUAUUGGCGAGAGACCGAUAGCGAACAAGUACCGUGAGGGAAAGAUGAAAAGAACUUUGGAAAGAGAGUUAAACAGUACGUGAAAUUGUUGAAAGGGAAACGCUUGAAGUCAGUCGCGUUGGCCAGGGAUCAACCUUGCUCUUUUGCUGGGCUUACUCUCUGGUUGACGGGUCAGCAUCAAUUUUGACCGGUGGAUAAAGGUUGAGGGAAUGUGGCAUCUUCGGGUGUGUUAUAGCCCUCGGUCGCA
RNAcentral lists this ribosomal RNA (575 nucleotides) under Dendrocollybia racemosa. Its description in RNAcentral is "eukaryotic LSU rRNA". It matches the Rfam family "Eukaryotic large subunit ribosomal RNA", at positions 1 to 571 of the family's 3401-position model. Lineage: Eukaryota; Fungi; Basidiomycota; Agaricomycetes; Agaricales. The record is from RNAcentral.